AAUUAGAGAGCUGCUGAUUACCACCAAGGUAAUCACAUCAUAUCAUAAGCCACAUCAUACCUGGACGACAGCGUUCCACAGCACUUCCGGCUCUCCUCCCGCUUUUACGGUCUACAUUCCCUUCCUUUAUGUUUUCUGAGCCUUGGUGAGGGGAAAGGAAGGGUUGUAAUUUGAUGUAAAUGUUCCAUGAAGGGCUGGGAGAUUUAUUAUCAGCUCUUUCACCAAUUACAA
RNAcentral lists this long non-coding RNA (231 nucleotides) under Rattus norvegicus (Norway rat). Its description in RNAcentral is "long non-coding RNA NONRATT015494". Lineage: Eukaryota; Metazoa; Chordata; Mammalia; Rodentia; Muridae. The record is from RNAcentral.